AUACGUAGGGGGCUAGCGUUAUCCGGAUUUACUGGGCGUAAAGGGUGCGUAGGUGGUCUCUUAAGUCAGGAGUGAAAGGCUACGGCUUAACCGUAGUAAGCUCUUGAAACUGGGAGACUUGAGUGCAGGAGAGGAAAGUGGAAUUCCUAGUGUAGCGGUGAAAUGCGUAGAUAUUAGGAGGAACACCAGUAGCGAAGGCGGCUUUCUGGUCUGCAACUGACGCUGAGGCUCGAAAGCAUGGGUAGC
This 246-nucleotide ribosomal RNA is filed under the name uncultured bacterium. RNAcentral's name for it is "partial 16S ribosomal RNA". It matches the Rfam family "Bacterial small subunit ribosomal RNA", at positions 523 to 769 of the family's 1533-position model. The record is from RNAcentral.